UACAGAGGGGGCAAGCGUUAUUCGGAAUUAUUGGGCGUAAAGGGCGCGUAGGCGGCUUUGCAAGUGACGGGUGAAAUCCCUCGGCUUAACCGAGGAACUGCCUGUCAGACUGUGAGGCUUGAGACCGGGAGAGGUGAGUGGAAUUCCCAGUGUAGCAGUGAAAUGCGUAGAUAUUGGGAGGAACACCAGUGGCGAAGGCGGCUCACUGGACCGGAACUGACGCUGAGGCGCGAAAGCGUGGGGAGCAAACAGG
Molecule: ribosomal RNA, 253 nt
Filed under: uncultured bacterium
Lineage: Bacteria
Description: partial 16S ribosomal RNA
Rfam family: Bacterial small subunit ribosomal RNA
Source: RNAcentral